CGCUUGGGAAGCCGCCACCGCCGCCGCUGCUGCAUGGCACUAGGCUCCCGGCGGGGCAGGUUCCGCAGCCGGCACCGCUCUGGCUAGGCGCACGGAGGCGCCUUGCUUAGUCUGACCCUUAUUUGGCCAGGCGUAAAACUUGUCCUGCCUAAAAGCCUACUGAGACCUCCUAACUGGUCUAAUCCGCGGGAGACGCCAAAGGCGGCGGCCGUUUGUGCGCACAGGAUUUUUCUUGGAGCUGUAGCAGUCUAGGAAGCCAGGGUGGAACUUUUGCUAAGCUCCCGUUGUAAGCCCAGAGCUGUAAUAACUGCUGAGACACAACCAGCAGUAUACAGGCUCCAGUUGGAAAUCGAGAACUUUCCAGGGCUGUCACCCAGGCUGGAGUGCAGUGGUGCCAUCACAGCUCACUGCAGCCUCGACCUCCUAGGCUAAAGUGAUCCUCCCAACUCAGCCUCCCGUAGCUGGGACUACAGGAAUGUGCCACGCCCAGAGGAGGACAUACAAAGGAGUCCUGGCUAAUGAGAGAUAAGCA
RNAcentral lists this long non-coding RNA (532 nucleotides) under Homo sapiens (human). RNAcentral describes it as "HSALNT0306048". Lineage: Eukaryota; Metazoa; Chordata; Mammalia; Primates; Hominidae. The record is from RNAcentral.